RNAcentral lists this ribosomal RNA (253 nucleotides) under uncultured bacterium. Its description in RNAcentral is "partial 16S ribosomal RNA". It matches the Rfam family "Bacterial small subunit ribosomal RNA", at positions 524 to 776 of the family's 1533-position model. The record is from RNAcentral.
UACGUAGGGUGCAAGCGUUGUCCGGAAUUAUUGGGCGUAAAGAGCUCGUAGGCGGUUUGUCGCGUCGGGAGUGAAAACACUGGGCUUAACCGAGUGCUUGCUUUCGAUACGGGCAGACUUGAGGCAUUCAGGGGAGAACGGAAUUCCUGGUGUAGCGGUGAAAUGCGCAGAUAUCAGGAGGAACACCGGUGGCGAAGGCGGUUCUCUGGGAAUGUUCUGACGCUGAGGAGCGAAAGUGUGGGGAGCGAACAGG